This 460-nucleotide ribosomal RNA is filed under the name uncultured bacterium. Its description in RNAcentral is "bacterial SSU rRNA". It matches the Rfam family "Bacterial small subunit ribosomal RNA", at positions 339 to 791 of the family's 1533-position model. The record is from RNAcentral.
CUACGGGAGGCAGCAGUGGGGAAUUUUGGACAAUGGGCGCAAGCCUGAUCCAGCAAUGCCGCGUGAGUGAAGAAGGCCUUCGGGUUGUAAAGCUCUUUUAGUCAAGAAGAAAAGGUUGUGACUAAUAAUCAUAACUCAUGACGGUACUGACAGAAAAAGCACCGGCUAACUACGUGCCAGCAGCCGCGGUAAUACGUAGGGUGCAAGCGUUAAUCGGAAUUACUGGGCGUAAAGGGUGCGCAGGCGGUUUUGUAAGUCAGAUGUGAAAUCCCCGGGCUUAACCUGGGAACUGCGUUUGAAACUACAAGACUAGAGUGUGGCAGAGGGGGGUGGAAUUCCAUGUGUAGCAGUGAAAUGCGUAGAGAUAUGGAAGAACAUCGAUGGCGAAGGCAACCCCCUGGGUUAACACUGACGCUCAGGCACGAAAGCGUGGGGAGCAAACAGGAUUAGAUACCCCGGU